CCUACGGGGGGCAGCAGUGGGGAAUUUUGGACAAUGGGCGCAAGCCUGAUCCAGCUAUUCCGCGUGUGGGAAGACGGCCUUCGGGUUGUAAACCACUUUUGUAGAGAACGAAAAGUCUAUUGAUAAUACCGAUAGAUGAUGACGGUACUCUAAGAAUAAGCACCGGCUAACUACGUGCCAGCAGCCGCAGUAAUACGUAGGGUGCGAGCGUUAAUCGGAAUUACUGGGCGUAAAGGGUGUGCAGGCGGUUUUGCAAGAUGGAUGUGAAAGCCCCGGGCUUAACCUGGGAAAGCCAUACAUGACUGCAAGACUAGAGUGCGUCAGAGGGGGGUGGAAUUCCAAGUGUAGCAGUGAAAUGCGUAGAUAUUUGGAAGAACACCGAUGGCGAAGGCAGCCCCCUGGGACGCAACUGACGCUCAUACACGAAAGCGUGGGGAGCAAACAGGAUUAGAUACCCGAGUAGUC
This 465-nucleotide ribosomal RNA is filed under the name uncultured bacterium. RNAcentral's name for it is "partial 16S ribosomal RNA". It matches the Rfam family "Bacterial small subunit ribosomal RNA", at positions 338 to 795 of the family's 1533-position model. The record is from RNAcentral.